RNAcentral lists this small RNA (81 nucleotides) under Flavobacterium sp. 103. RNAcentral describes it as "Flavo-1 RNA". It matches the Rfam family "Flavo-1 RNA". Lineage: Bacteria; Pseudomonadati; Bacteroidota; Flavobacteriia; Flavobacteriales; Flavobacteriaceae. The record is from RNAcentral.
AAAUUGCGUGAAGGAUUGAAGCGACAUCCUUUUAUUUUUUUCUUUAAAAAAUAAAAGAUAUAGCGGAAAGCCUGGUUUGCU